ACCUGGCACCAUAACAGCUGCCUAUACAUGUUCUAAAGCUUUGAAUAAAUACAUAUUUUAAAGCUAUGAAGAACAAGGGUAAAAUUCAUUGAAGUGAUCGCAAUUUUGUUAUUGACUUGAAGGGUUUCUGGAUUUUAUCCCAAGGAAAGUUAAUGAUUAAUUCCAUAUACUUGUUUUGACAAGAAUAAAUUAGGAAAGUAGAAAACAAUGUAGACUGUCAAUAAAAACAUUCAGAUCCUCUAACACCAGCUGUGGCAAUGGAUAUUAAAUCAAGGAAUGAUAUUCCCAUUGCUGAGAGAAAUAACCAGCAUUCUUUGUAGGUAAGGAAACAACUGAAGAAUAUUAUUUAUUAGAAAUGUGGUUAAUCGUCUAGUCUUUUCAAAUGAAAAGCACUAGUAUAUACAUAAGGAAAAUGAAUCUUUCACUCUACAAGGUAUCUCUGGCAAAUUAUUCAGUGGUAAUGUACAGACAUACCUUCUUUCAUUCUCAUCAGAAAAUGAGUAUUAACAAGCAGACAUGUGGGAUGAACAGCAGCUAAAUGGUACUUUAUUAUAUAAAUGAUCAAGGUUGUUGUAGGAAAGAAACUUUCAUGGCAUGAAAUACCAUUUUAUACAUAUUAAAAACAAAUCUUUUGAAAUAUU
Molecule: non-coding RNA, 641 nt
Organism: Tinamus guttatus (white-throated tinamou)
Lineage: Eukaryota; Metazoa; Chordata; Aves; Tinamiformes; Tinamidae
Source: RefSeq, a predicted model, not a curated record